AUCGCUUCUCGGCCUUUUGGCUAAGAUCAAGUGUAGUAUCUGUUCUUAUCAGUAGGAAAGGAAAAAAGUAAAGAGAAAGAGAGACGCAUGGUGGGACUGCAAAAGCGACUGGAAAGGUAUUUUAACCUAUGCCAACAGGGCCUUGAUUUUAACCAAGAAAUUAA
Molecule: small nuclear RNA, 164 nt
Organism: Oncorhynchus tshawytscha (Chinook salmon)
Lineage: Eukaryota; Metazoa; Chordata; Actinopteri; Salmoniformes; Salmonidae
Gene: U2
Rfam family: U2 spliceosomal RNA
About the family: U2 is a small nuclear RNA (snRNA) component of the spliceosome (involved in pre-mRNA splicing). Complementary binding between U2 snRNA (in an area lying towards the 5' end but 3' to hairpin I) and the branchpoint sequence (BPS) of the intron results the bulging out of an unpaired adenosine, on the BPS, which initiates a nucleophilic attack at the intronic 5' splice site, thus starting the first of two transesterification reactions that mediate splicing.
Source: Ensembl